AACCUUAUGGACCUGCGGGCGUAUACCUGCGGAAGGAUCAUUACCGAGUGCGGGUCCGCGUGGCCCAACCUCCCACCCGUGCCUAUUGUACCCUGUUGCUUCGGCGGGCCCGCCAGCCUUCGGGCUGGCCGCCGGGGGGCGUCUCGCCCCCGGGCCCGUGCCCGCCGGAGACCCCAACAUGAACCCUGUUCUGAAAGCUUGGUGUCUGAGUGUGAUUGUUUGCAAUCAGUUAAAACUUUU
This 240-nucleotide unclassified non-coding RNA is filed under the name soil metagenome. Its description in RNAcentral is "partial contains 5.8S ribosomal RNA, internal transcribed spacer 2, and large subunit ribosomal RNA". The record is from RNAcentral.